RNAcentral lists this transfer RNA (70 nucleotides) under Podarcis lilfordi (Lilford's wall lizard). It matches the Rfam family "tRNA". From Rfam's summary of the family: Transfer RNA (tRNA) molecules are approximately 80 nucleotides in length. Their secondary structure includes four short double-helical elements and three loops (D, anti-codon, and T loops). The record is from Rfam by way of RNAcentral. Lineage: Eukaryota; Metazoa; Chordata; Lepidosauria; Squamata; Lacertidae.
GGCCAUAGCUCAGUGGUAGAGCAUUUGCUUUGCAUGCAAAAGGUUCCAUGUUCAAUCCCAGAUAAGGCUG